GGAUGCGAUCAUACCAGCACUAAAGCACCGGAUCCCAUCAGAACUCCGAAGUUAAGCGUGCUUGGGCGAGAGUAAUACUAGGAUGGGUGACCUCCUGGGAAGUCCUCGUGUUGCAUUCC
Molecule: ribosomal RNA, 119 nt
Filed under: Triticum aestivum (bread wheat)
Lineage: Eukaryota; Viridiplantae; Streptophyta; Magnoliopsida; Poales; Poaceae
Also listed under: 1 other name
Source: RNAcentral